Molecule: long non-coding RNA, 579 nt
Filed under: Ursus maritimus (polar bear)
Lineage: Eukaryota; Metazoa; Chordata; Mammalia; Carnivora; Ursidae
Description: lncRNA (ENSUMAG00000011915.1)
Source: RNAcentral
AUGAUCUCUCUCUCCCUCUCUCUCUUCCUCCCUCCCUUUAUAAGGAAUGCUAUAAGGAACACCCCAUCCUACAUCACAGUAGAGUUGGUAAAGCAUUCCCGUGAUGAUCAAGCUAUCCAGUUUCUACUUGUGGCUCUGCAUCCCAGCCCACUGUAUGAUUCUGGCUUCAUCUAUGAGAGUUCAGCUGCUGCGGACGCACCAGGUACUGGAGCUGGGCCGAGACCCACAAGCAAGGACACAUCCGGCGGGAGGACAACGUCGUCGUGGCAGCAGGGCAUGCACUUGGUGUUUACGGAGAAGAGGCCACUGAGCGCCACAGACGUGGGUUGCACCACAAGAAGCUGCACAGAGCCUGGCUGCUGUUUGCCUCCUGGUCCCCCAGCCCCCUGGUGAGGCUUCUGCAAGAGCCUUCCACCACUCCAGUGCAUGCUUGUGGCAUGAUAGAAUUUUAGAUACGGAUGCACCCAGGGAAUCUUCUGUUCUCCUCCAGUUUCCAAGAGGGAAUUCUGAGGCAUCAAGAAGGAGGUAGGUCAGAGUGAUAGUGAUGGUUCUUAGUGGAGAAUGGACUCACUUUAAAGU